RNAcentral lists this ribosomal RNA (465 nucleotides) under uncultured Klebsiella sp. RNAcentral's name for it is "bacterial SSU rRNA". It matches the Rfam family "Bacterial small subunit ribosomal RNA", at positions 338 to 795 of the family's 1533-position model. The record is from RNAcentral. Lineage: Bacteria; Pseudomonadati; Pseudomonadota; Gammaproteobacteria; Enterobacterales; Enterobacteriaceae.
CCUACGGGUGGCAGCAGUGGGGAAUAUUGCACAAUGGGCGCAAGCCUGAUGCAGCCAUGCCGCGUGUGUGAAGAAGGCCUUCGGGUUGUAAAGCACUUUCAGCGGGGAGGAAGGCGGUGAGGUUAAUAACCUCAUCGAUUGACGUUACCCGCAGAAGAAGCACCGGCUAACUCCGUGCCAGCAGCCGCGGUAAUACGGAGGGUGCAAGCGUUAAUCGGAAUUACUGGGCGUAAAGCGCACGCAGGCGGUCUGUCUAGUCGGAUGUGAAAUCCCCGGGCUCAACCUGGGAACUGCAUUCGAAACUGGCAGGCUAGAGUCUUGUAGAGGGGGGUAGAAUUCCAGGUGUAGCGGUGAAAUGCGUAGAGAUCUGGAGGAAUACCGGUGGCGAAGGCGGCCCCCUGGACAAAGACUGACGCUCAGGUGCGAAAGCGUGGGGAGCAAACAGGAUUAGAUACCCUAGUAGUC